UAACUGAACUAUGAUGGUGGCCAGUAU
RNAcentral lists this non-coding RNA (27 nucleotides) under Mus musculus (house mouse). The record is from RNAcentral. Lineage: Eukaryota; Metazoa; Chordata; Mammalia; Rodentia; Muridae.